RNAcentral lists this ribosomal RNA (696 nucleotides) under Shigella sp. RNAcentral describes it as "bacterial SSU rRNA". It matches the Rfam family "Bacterial small subunit ribosomal RNA", at positions 51 to 741 of the family's 1533-position model. Lineage: Bacteria; Pseudomonadati; Pseudomonadota; Gammaproteobacteria; Enterobacterales; Enterobacteriaceae. The record is from RNAcentral.
ACACAUGCAAGUCGAACGGUAACAGGAAGCAGCUUGCUUCUUGCUGACGAGUGGCGGACGGGUGAGUAAUGUCUGGGAAACUGCCUGAUGGAGGGGGAUAACUACUGGAAACGGUAGCUAAUACCGCAUAACGUCGCAAGACCAAAGAGGGGGACCUUCGGGCCUCUUGCCAUCGGAUGUGCCCAGAUGGGAUUAGCUUGUGGUGGGGUAACGGCUCACCAGGCGACGAUCCCUAGCUGGUCUGAGAGGAUGACCAGCCACACUGGAACUGAGACACGGUCCAGACUCCUACGGGAGGCAGCAGUGGGGAAUAUUGCACAAUGGGCGCAAGCCUGAUGCAGCCAUGCCGCGUGUAUGAAGAAGGCCUUCGGGUUGUAAAGUACUUUCAGCGGGGAGGAAGGGAGUAAAGUUAAUACCUUUGCUCAUUGACGUUACCCGCAGAAGAAGCACCGGCUAACUCCGUGCCAGCAGCCGCGGUAAUACGGAGGGUGCAAGCGUUAAUCGGAAUUACUGGGCGUAAAGCGCACGCAGGCGGUUUGUUAAGUCAGAUGUGAAAUCCCCGGGCUCAACCUGGGAACUGCAUCUGAUACUGGCAAGCUUGAGUCUCGUAGAGGGGGGUAGAAUUCCAGGUGUAGCGGUGAAAUCGUAGAGAUCUGGAGGAAUACCGGUGGCGAAGGCGGCCCCCUGACGAAGACU